AACUUUAAAAGCAAGCUUUUAAAGUUAGCGGCGGACGGGUGAGUAACACGUGGGCAACCUGCCUGUAAGACUGGGAUAACUUCGGGAAACCGGAGCUAAUACCGGAUAAUCCUUUUCCCCUCAUGUGGAAAAGCUGAAAGACGGUUUACGCUGUCACUUACAGAUGGGCCCG
Molecule: ribosomal RNA, 172 nt
Filed under: Niallia circulans
Lineage: Bacteria; Bacillati; Bacillota; Bacilli; Caryophanales; Bacillaceae
Description: Bacillus circulans partial 16S ribosomal RNA
Rfam family: Bacterial small subunit ribosomal RNA
Source: RNAcentral